Molecule: long non-coding RNA, 772 nt
Organism: Neopelma chrysocephalum (saffron-crested tyrant-manakin)
Lineage: Eukaryota; Metazoa; Chordata; Aves; Passeriformes; Pipridae
Exons: 4
Source: RefSeq, a predicted model, not a curated record
CAGACUGAGCUGGAACCUGCAGCAAUCUUUCGACGGACUUUCGUAGUCUUUUUCACUUUUUAUGUUGGAGACUGAAAGGACCACCUUCCUGAAUAUUUAUCAGAAUGUUUUAAGGUAAAAAAUUGAGAAUGGAUCUCCUUGGAGAGGAAGGAGAGAGAAUGGCACAUCUAAAGGAUGCAAUCGAUCAUCCUAAACAUUGGUCCCUUUAAUCUUAUGAAAAUGGAACUUUAAAACUGAACAAAAACAGCAAUUCAGAAGUAUUCUUUGGGCCAAUUCGAAACCUGCCUGGAUUCUGUCAUCCUUACAGUGAAUAGUAGGCUACUCUGUAAAUAGUCCUCAUUAUUUCAGUAUGAAUAAAGGUCACCCAAUUUGGUGCUUAGGGAUUACAUAAUUUUCCAUCUGCAUUUACCAACACUUUUAGAAAACAUGCAUAACUCAUUCAUUCUUGUUUCACAGUUGAGAAGCCGGUGUAAAGCUAGAUCAAAUGACUUAUCCUAUAUUGUUCAACAAGGCAAAGGAAGCCAAGAACAGAAUCUCAUUUAUUUUUCUGAACAGAUUUCAAUAGAACAGGGUAGCAUUCUAUAAGCCUUUCUUUUGGCUUCUGUGCCAUUUCCAAAGAGCUAUAUUUUGAAGAAAAGAUGCCUGCUGUAUCUGUUAUUACUGUAAUUUCUUAGCCCAUCAAUGAAUGGAAGCAAAAAUGCUGUCUGAUCCCAACAAACUCUUAUUCCAAAUGCGGAAGAAAAAGAUUACCAUAGGUAGCAAAUCUACAAAU